ACUAACGUGUUAUUGGCCUAAUG
This 23-nucleotide non-coding RNA is filed under the name Arabidopsis thaliana (thale cress). Lineage: Eukaryota; Viridiplantae; Streptophyta; Magnoliopsida; Brassicales; Brassicaceae. The record is from RNAcentral.